GACGAACGCUGGCGGCGUGCCUAAUACAUGCAAGUAGAACGCUGAAGGAGUAGCUUGCUUCUCUGGAUGAGUUGCGAACGGGUGAGUAACGCGUAGGUAACCUGCCUUGUAGCGUGGGAUAACUAUUGGAAACGAUAGCUAAUACCGCAUAAUAGUAGAUGUUGCAUGACAUUUGCUUAAAAGGUGCAAUUGCAUCACUACCAGAUGGACCUGCGUUGUAUUUGCUAGUUGGUGGGGUAACGGCACACCAAGGCGACGAUACAUACCCGACCGGAGAGGGUGGUCGGCCGCACUGGGAGGGAGACACGGCACAGAGGGCUACAGGUGGCAGCAGGAGGGAAUCGGGGGCAAUGGGCGGAAGACUGAGCGAGCAAGGCCGCGGCAGUGAAGAAGAUUGUCGGAUCGUAAAGCUCGGUUUUAAGGGUAGAAAGAGUGUGAGAGUGGAAAGUUCACAGUGUGACGGUAACUUAUCAGAAAGGGACGGCUAACUACGUG
RNAcentral lists this ribosomal RNA (495 nucleotides) under uncultured bacterium. Its description in RNAcentral is "partial 16S ribosomal RNA". It matches the Rfam family "Bacterial small subunit ribosomal RNA", at positions 28 to 507 of the family's 1533-position model. The record is from RNAcentral.